GACGAACGCUGGCGGCGCGCCUAACACAUGCAAGUCGAACGGAGCUGAGAGAAGCUUGCUUUUCUUAGCUUAGUGGCGAACGGGUGAGUAACGCGUGGGUAACCUGCCCUGGAGUGGGGGACAACAGUUGGAAACGACUGCUAAUACCGCAUAAGCCCACGAUCCGGCAUCGGAUUGAGGGAAAAGGAUUUAUUCGCUUCAGGAUGGACUCGCGUCCAAUUAGCUAGUUGGUGAGGUAACGGCCCACCAAGGCGACGAUUGGUAGCCGGACUGAGAGGUUGAACGGCCACAUUGGGACUGAGACACGGCCCAGACUCCUACGGGAGGCAGCAGUGGGGGAUAUUGCACAAUGGGGGAAACCCUGAUGCAGCGACGCCGCGUGGAGGAAGAAGGUUUUCGGAUUGUAAACUCCUGUCGUUAGGGACGAUAAUGACGGUACCUAACAAGAAAGCACCGGCUAACUACGUG
Molecule: ribosomal RNA, 468 nt
Filed under: uncultured bacterium
Lineage: Bacteria
Description: partial 16S ribosomal RNA
Rfam family: Bacterial small subunit ribosomal RNA
Source: RNAcentral